AAUAAGCACAGCCAUAAGUUUUCAUGUCCAACUUUGAUGGUUCGUUUUAUUUAAAUUUUUUUAUGAAUAUUAUUUUGUUUGUUAUUAGGUUAUAAAAUAUGAAUAGUAAUUUAUGCAUGACUUUAGUCCAAAUAUGAAAAGUAAUUUAUGCAUGACUUUAGUCCAAAUAUGAUUUUUAGUUUUUUCAAAAAAAAAAUAAAUAAGUUGGACGAUCAAAGUUAGACACGGAAGCUUAUGUCUGCACUUAUU
This 249-nucleotide microRNA precursor is filed under the name Oryza rufipogon (brownbeard rice). RNAcentral's name for it is "MIR812 microRNA precursor family". It matches the Rfam family "MIR812 microRNA precursor family". The record is from Rfam by way of RNAcentral. Lineage: Eukaryota; Viridiplantae; Streptophyta; Magnoliopsida; Poales; Poaceae.